CUACGGGGCGCUGCAGUGGGGAAUAUUGCACAAUGGGCGCAAGCCUGAUGCAGCCAUGCCGCGUGUAUGAAGAAGGCCUUCGGGUUGUAAAGUACUUUCAGCGGGGAGGAAGGGAGUAAAGUUAAUACCUUUGCUCAUUGACGUUACCCGCAGAAGAAGCACCGGCUAACUCGCGUGCCAGCAGCCGCGGUAAUACGGAGGGUGCAAGCGUUAAUCGGAAUUACUGGGCGUAAAGCGCACGCAGGCGGUUUGUUAAGUCAGAGGUGAAAUCCCCGGGCUCAACCUGGGAACUGCAUCUGAGACUGGCAAGCUUGAGUCUCGUAGAGGGGGGUAGAAUUCCAGGUGUAGCGGUGAAAUGCGUAGAGAUCUGGAGGAAUACCGGUGGCGAAGGCGGCCCCCUGGACGAAGACUGACGCUCAGGUGCGAAAGCGUGGGGAGCAAACAGGAUUAGAUACCCCAGUGUC
Molecule: ribosomal RNA, 464 nt
Filed under: uncultured bacterium
Lineage: Bacteria
Description: partial 16S ribosomal RNA
Rfam family: Bacterial small subunit ribosomal RNA
Source: RNAcentral